This 88-nucleotide microRNA precursor is filed under the name Leersia perrieri. Its description in RNAcentral is "pre miRNA mir-156". Lineage: Eukaryota; Viridiplantae; Streptophyta; Magnoliopsida; Poales; Poaceae. The record is from RNAcentral.
UUGACAGAAGAGAGUGAGCACACGGCGCGGCGACUAGCCAUCGGCGGGAUGCCUGCCCCCGCCGCGUGCUCGCUCCUCUUUCUGUCAG